UACGUAGGGUGCAAGCGUUAAUCGGAAUUACUGGGCGUAAAGCGUGCGCAGGCGGUUUUGUAAGUCUGACGUGAAAUCCCCGGGCUCAACCUGGGAAUUGCGUUGGAGACUGCAAGGCUAGAAUCUGGCAGAGGGGGGUAGAAUUCCACGUGUAGCAGUGAAAUGCGUAGAGAUGUGGAGGAACACCGAUGGCGAAGGCAGCCCCCUGGGUCGAGAUUGACGCUCAUGCACGAAAGCGUGGGGAGCAAACAGG
RNAcentral lists this ribosomal RNA (253 nucleotides) under uncultured bacterium. Its description in RNAcentral is "partial 16S ribosomal RNA". It matches the Rfam family "Bacterial small subunit ribosomal RNA", at positions 524 to 776 of the family's 1533-position model. The record is from RNAcentral.